CCUACGGGUGGCUGCAGUCGAGAAUCAUUCACAAUGGGGGAAACCCUGAUGGUGCGACGCCGCGUGGGGGAAUGAAGGUCUUCGGAUUGUAAACCCCUGUCAUGUGGGAGCAAAUUAAAAAGAUAGUACCACAAGAGGAAGAGACGGCUAACUCUGUGCCAGCAGCCGCGGUAAUACAGAGGUCUCAAGCGUUGUUCGGAAUCACUGGGCGUAAAGCGUGCGUAGGCUGUUUCGUAAGGCGUGUGUGAAAGGCGCGGGCUCAACCCGCGGACGGCACAUGAUACUGCGGGACUAGAGUGAUGGAGGGGGAACCGGAAGUCUCGGUGUAGCAGUGAAAUGCGUAGAUAUCGAGAGGAACACUCGUGGCGAAGGCGGGUUCCUGGACAUUAACUGACGCUGAGGCACGAAGGCCAGGGGAGCGAAAGGGAUUAGAUACCCGUGUAGUC
Molecule: ribosomal RNA, 446 nt
Filed under: uncultured bacterium
Lineage: Bacteria
Description: partial 16S ribosomal RNA
Rfam family: Bacterial small subunit ribosomal RNA
Source: RNAcentral